This 690-nucleotide ribosomal RNA is filed under the name Punctelia ulophylla. Its description in RNAcentral is "partial large subunit ribosomal RNA". It matches the Rfam family "Eukaryotic large subunit ribosomal RNA", at positions 90 to 795 of the family's 3401-position model. Lineage: Eukaryota; Fungi; Ascomycota; Lecanoromycetes; Lecanorales; Parmeliaceae. The record is from RNAcentral.
CGAGUGAAGCGGCAACAGCUCAAAUUUGAAAUCUGGCCCCUUCGGGGUCCGAGUUGUAAUUUGUAGAGAGUGUUUCGGGUGAGGUCACGGUCUAAGUCUAUUGGAACAUGGCGUCAUAGAGGGUGAGAAUCCCGUAUGUGACCGUGAACCGAGCCCAUGUGAAGCCUCUUCGACGAGUCGAGUUGUUUGGGAAUGCAGCUCAAAAUGGGUGGUAAAUUUCAUCUAAAGCUAAAUACUGGCUGGAGACCGAUAGCGCACAAGUAGAGUGAUCGAAAGAUGAAAAGCACUUUGGAAAGAGAGUGAAACAGUACGUGAAAUUGUUGAAAGGGAAGCGCUUGCAACCAGACCUGCCCGUAGGCGAUCAGCCGCUGUUCUCAGUGGUGCACUCGCUCUGCGAUCAGGCCAGCAUCGGUUUCGGCGGUCGGAUAAAGGCCUUGGGAAUGUAGCUUCCUUUCGGGGGAGUCUUAUAGCCCUCGGUGCAAUGCGGCCAGCCGGGACCGAGGACCGCGCUUCGGCUAGGAUGCUGGCGUAAUGGUUGUAAGCGACCCGUCUUGAAACACGGACCAAGGAGUCUAACAUCUAUGCGAGUGUUUGGGUGUUAAACCCAUACGCGGAAUGAAAGUGAACGGAGGUGAGAACCCUGAAGGGCGCAUCAUCGACCGAUCCAGAUGUCUUCGGAUGGAUUUGAGU